GAUUGCCUUAUCAGGUGCAAUGCUAAUUACCUUAAGGGUAAUCACCUGUGUGUGUGCUACAUAAAAGGCAGCUACACUGCAUGAUUGUGACACUGAUGAAGGCUGGACGGCUGAAAACAGUUUGUCUUCUGUAAAUAAAGUGCUCUCUUCUCAUUGUGUGCUAUCCUCCUCUGUCAUCUUUUAUUAAUAUAAUAUGGAUAAUGCACCAGUUCUUUUGAGCACAGAGGAAACUCUAUGACAACACUGUUCCCACAGUGUUAUCAUAACUGAUGGAACCGAUGGCUAGAGCUAUGAAGGCAUCAGUAUACUUCAGAGGAAGUUCUUUCCAGAUGGUCGACAAUUGCGCUGACAAGACACAUACACAGAGCACCAUCAGACACAGAGUUGCUGGAGGCAGUGUGAUGCCGCCAAGAGGACGCUAUGACAGCAGGCCCUUUGGAGCAGGUGUCUCUUUGCUGGACCAUCGGCCAUCCUGGGACCGCUCUCCUUCCCUGGCUGUUGGUUCCAUUUCCAGAAUUUCCUCAUCUGGAUCUUCAUCCUUCAGGAGAUACAGCCUCACCUCCUCUGUCUCUCUCUCCCCUGUGUAUACGGUUUCCUUGUCUCUUGUGUGUCCUCUUCCCCAGUCUCCAUGGUGAUGGAGGUCGCAUGGCUCAGGUUCUAUCUGUUUGGCAGCACCUGGAAGUUGUUCAAUGUCUUCUUGAUGAUAUUUUGCAUAUGUGAGAAAUCCAUCUACAAUUUUGUUAUCCUGUUUGUCCAUGCUGUAUUUCUGUAAUUUUGCUUUCUUGCUCUAUUCUGUAGACACAUCUAUUGCAUAUCUGUCCACCCCGGGAGAGGGAUCCGUCCUCUGUUUCUACUAUUCUUUCCCCUGUUAAAGGGGUUUUUAGGGAGUUUUUCCUUAUUUGAAUCAAGGAUCUAAGGAUAAAGGAUGUUGUAUUGCUGUACAGAUUGUAAAAUCCCCUGAGGCAAAUUUGUGAUUUGUGAUAUUGGGCUAUGCAAAUAAAAUUUAAAAGCUACACAGUGUGGGAUUGGAGUUCUAAUGGCCUUAUUUUACUUUUACAAGAGAACAGCUUCAAGGAUGAGGACUCUCUUCUCCUUGGAUAAAUAUUAUUUCAGGGAAAUUUUCCCAACAGUAUUAGUGUUGAAGUGUGUUUUGUUUAAAGACUGGAGGUCGCAAUGAUGAAUGUAAAGUUGAUCUGAAGUGUCUGUGAAAA
This is a long non-coding RNA of Thunnus maccoyii (southern bluefin tuna), 1211 nucleotides long. RefSeq lists it as uncharacterized. The transcript is spliced from 3 exons. The record is from RefSeq and is a predicted model, not a curated record. Lineage: Eukaryota; Metazoa; Chordata; Actinopteri; Scombriformes; Scombridae.